RNAcentral lists this long non-coding RNA (1979 nucleotides) under Lactuca sativa (garden lettuce). RNAcentral describes it as "long non-coding RNA (LSAT_LNC007034)". The record is from RNAcentral. Lineage: Eukaryota; Viridiplantae; Streptophyta; Magnoliopsida; Asterales; Asteraceae.
UAUCUCUUCGUAUGCGAAAUCUCUCCAAGUACGUCAAAUCUCUCCCAAAUCUCUCUGAGAACGAGGAAUCUCUCUCAAAUCUCUCUCGAAAUCUCUCCCAACUUUCUAUAAUCACUCGGGGCAUCCCGACCCUCGAAUUUGGCGAAAAUAGCCCAAGAACGGAAGUCUACGCGAAAAACGGACUUAAGGAAACGAACCCUCUGAACCGAAAGUACUAUUCAUGAACCGAACCGAAAGCACUAUUCAUGAGGGUCCGAACCGAAAGUACUGUUCAUGUGCUGGACCGAAGUUACUGUUCAUCCGAACCGAAUCCGACCAUGAAGGAGAUCCGAACCGAAGGCUGCUAAGAAGAAAGGUCCGAACCGAACCUCGGGUAGAAGGGAGAUCCGAACCGAAGGUACUGUUCACUACUGUUCACUACAGUUCCUUCGGUUCUAGCCACCCUUCGGACCAAACUCUACCUUCGCGUCGGAUAGCCUGCCUCGGACCGAACCCGCUUUCGCUUCACGCCUUCACUUCGGACCGAGCCUCGGACCAGCUUCGCUUCGUUUCUUCCCUCCAGCUCGCGCCUUCGCUUCCGAGACCAACCACCUGCGUCCGAACCCAAGCGCCGCCUGACCAGACUUCGGCCUAGGGACAGCUCGCGCCUUCGCUUCCGAGACCAACCACCUGCGUCCGAACCCAAGCGCCGCCUGACCAGACUUCGGCCUAGGGACCGAGCCUCGGCCUAGGUCCGAAGAAACUUGCUGGAAAUUACAUUUUUCGCCCGUUUUUGCAUAUUUUUGCGUUUUAAACCCAUUUUUAAUUAUUUUAACAUGGGAUUUUCACCCAAAACUUUAUUUUUAAUUAUAAGACCCCUAAAUUAAUGAUUUAAUCACAUUUUAAGGGUAAAAUCUUAUUUAAAAAGGAGUUGGUAAAGUACAAAAAGAAGAAGUGUUGACCUUACCUUAGUUAUGACGCAAGCAACCCCCUCACCCACUCCAUGACAACCCACACUCCUCCCCACCAUACCUUGUACUUUUUACCUCCCUCACAAGCCACCUCCAUGCUUUGAGGGCUGGAUAAUCAUCCUCUCUCCUCAUUUUUCUUUCAUUUGUUCUCAUUUCACAAGAAGAUCAAACUCCUUUCUCUCUCACUUUCUCUCUCUAGAAAUCCAAGAUUCAAGGGCUGAUCUUGAGAGUUUCCUCCACCUUUGGUAAGCAUAAUCCAUUUCCUUUAUGAUUACCUCUAUUAUUUCCACUCAAAUCAUGGAUAUCUUACACAAACUCCAUUAUAUUUGUGUUAGAGCUUCGAAUCUUCAAACGGUUCUUCUAGUGUUCUUGGGUUGAACACUUCUCUUCUUCAUCACUUAUCUACUGAAAUCACACAAGGUGAGUUCAUACCCCUACAUUUUCACGUUUUCUCAAGUUUUUAGGGGGGGAAUACAAGUUAAAAUGCUUAGAACAUAACUACAUUCUUCUAACAGCUUUCAUCAGAAAAGUUUCACUCCAUUCACGGACUGUUUUGGACAUCUUAAAUAUUUUUGUUUUCAAAACUGUUUUAGGUGCAUGUAGUUCCACUUCUUAGCUUUAAAAUGACUACUUGCACAUCUCCAUACGAUUUUUCUACAAUUUAUGGUGAUUUUUACAAAACCGCCUAUCAUUUCAAACAUCAAUCCGGACCAGUCUGUGAUUAUGGACUUUUUCACCCAAGUUAGAGAUCAUUAAAAAUUAUAAUAAAAAUUAUGAACAAACUAGACUCAUUUUCCAAACUCUCAGAAGUUACAGAACCUGAUUUGGACAUUUUAUGAUUUUUCUACAAUUUUUCCAAUAUCAGUUACAGAAAAGGUUAUUAACAGAAAAACACAAUAAAUUUCAUUUCACCUUGUAACAUGUCGAGCAAGGUAUACAUCGUUAGUUGAUUAUGUGUAGUUGCAAUAUAUGACAAAUUUUGUAUUCCUACAUAGACAUACAUCAGAAAACACAUGGAUUUACAUCUUC